Gopherus flavomarginatus (Mexican gopher tortoise) is the source of this 100-nucleotide long non-coding RNA. RefSeq lists it as uncharacterized. The record is from RefSeq and is a predicted model, not a curated record. The transcript is spliced from 3 exons. Lineage: Eukaryota; Metazoa; Chordata; Testudines; Testudinidae.
GGUUGGGCCCCUGGAGCUAGGGUUAGGGGACCCAGGGGCUGGACCCCUGGAGCUAGGGUUAGGGGACCCAGGGGAUGGACUGCUGGAGCUUGGGUUAGGG